This 85-nucleotide transfer RNA is filed under the name Caldicoprobacter faecalis. Its description in RNAcentral is "Acetomicrobium faecale tRNA". It matches the Rfam family "tRNA". Rfam says of the family: Transfer RNA (tRNA) molecules are approximately 80 nucleotides in length. Their secondary structure includes four short double-helical elements and three loops (D, anti-codon, and T loops). The record is from Rfam by way of RNAcentral. Lineage: Bacteria; Bacillati; Bacillota; Clostridia; Caldicoprobacterales; Caldicoprobacteraceae.
GCGGAAGUGGCGGAACUGGCAGACGCGGUAGUUUGAGGGGCUGCUGCUCGUUAAGAGCGUAAGGGUUCGAGUCCCUUCUUCCGCA